This is a non-coding RNA of Solea senegalensis (Senegalese sole), 72 nucleotides long. NCBI's taxonomy places the organism in Eukaryota, Metazoa, Chordata, Actinopteri, Pleuronectiformes, Soleidae. The record is from the annotation of a RefSeq genome assembly.
UCCCUGGUGGUCUAGGGGUUAGGAUUUGGCACUCCCACCGCCACGGCCUGGGUUUGAUUCCCAGUCAGGGAA